Molecule: ribosomal RNA, 254 nt
Filed under: uncultured bacterium
Lineage: Bacteria
Description: partial 16S ribosomal RNA
Rfam family: Bacterial small subunit ribosomal RNA
Source: RNAcentral
UACGGAGGGGGCAAGCGUUGUUCGGAAUUACUGGGCGUAAAGGGCGCGUAGGUGGCCCGGUCAGUUCGUGGUGAAAGCGCGGGGCUCAACCCUGCGUCGGCCAUGAAUACUGCCGCGGCUGGAGCACUGUAGAGGCAGGCGGAAUUCCGGGUGUAGCGGUGGAAUGCGUAGAGAUCCGGAAGAACACCGGUGGCGAAGGCGGCCUGCUGGGCAGUUGCUGACACUGAGGCGCGACAGCGUGGGGAGCAAACAGG